GCAUAAUCAAUAGUUUUUUAAUUGAAAGCUGGAAUGAAAGGUAGAAAUCUAAAAAGGAAGUUUUAUUUUAUAAUUUUGAAUUUUAAUUAAAAGUAAAAAUGCUUUUAUAAUUUCUUGGGACGAGAAGACCCUAGAAGCUUUUGAAGUAAAUAAUAUUUUUAUAUUGGGGCAAUUAUUGAAGAUAUAAAUUUUUGUAAAGUUUUAAAUAAAAGAUUAUGAAGUUACUCUAGGGUUAACAGCGUUAUUUAAUUAACAAGUUCUUAUUAAUAAUUAAGUUUGCGACCUCGAUGUUGAAUUAAUU
RNAcentral lists this ribosomal RNA (301 nucleotides) under Longiperna cancellata. RNAcentral's name for it is "partial 16S ribosomal RNA". The record is from RNAcentral. Lineage: Eukaryota; Metazoa; Arthropoda; Arachnida; Opiliones; Gonyleptidae.